Non-coding RNA from Agrilus planipennis (emerald ash borer), 191 nucleotides. NCBI's taxonomy places the organism in Eukaryota, Metazoa, Arthropoda, Insecta, Coleoptera, Buprestidae. The record is from Rfam.
UCUUGAUAAUACUGUACGGGUAAUCCUUGCUACCUGCGAGACGGCUGAAGAGGACCUUAAUUGGUCCUAGAACGGCUUGAGGUAGAGGGGUUUUAGUCGGUAGGUCCGAGGACUUCUUCCUCGGGAAUCCGACACUACCCAGUCGUACGGACGGCUGGGUGACUUUUUAAGAUUUCCCCUCUUCCACGAAA